AAGAGAGCAGCAGGGGAUGUAAUCACAGCAGCAGCAGGAGGAGGGGGUUGGUCUUAGUGUGAUGUGAAUGGAAUCAGGAGUGAGAGAAAGAGAGAUACAGAGAGAGAGAGAGAGAGAGAGAGAGAGAGAGAGAGAGAGAGAGAGAGAGUACAAAUCAACCUGCCUCAGUCUGAACAACGGGGACACAAUAAGCCAGGGAGAAGGCUCUGAGCAGGCAGGCAGGAUUUUCUUGUUCUAGAGACAAUCACACUCAAAAAGGAGAAAAGAAGACAAGACAGCAACAUAGAGAGAGGUAGAGAGAGAAGGAGAGUAGAUAGCAGAAAAAUGCUGUCAUGGAAGAAAGAGGGGAGACAACAGAGAACAGCAGGAUGGAAUAAGGACAGGGCAAGCAGACAUGCAGAGGUAAGACCAUUUUUAUUAAACACACACACACACACACACACACACACACACACAGUUUGUAAGCUGAUCUGGGACGAGACGCUUUGCUCAUUUUUGCUGAGACCCCAAUUACUUCCCCUGCCCUGUGUGUGUGUGUGUGUGUGCGUGCAUGAUUGUGAAGCAGAAAUAGAAAAUAAGCUACGAGAAUCGAAAAGAGGAUGUGUGAAACACAGUGAGGGGAAAUGCUUAGGAGGAAAUGAUGUCGAGGGCUCAGUGCUCGCUUUCGCACUGGCUGCUGUUGUCUCAGAGAGAGAGAGAGAGAGAGAGACAUACACACACACACACACACACAUAUACACACACACUCACACACCGACACACAGCACUUUUAUGACAUUGACACGGAGCCACUGCAGACCUUGCCGUGAGGACUGCAAAGCUGCAGGACCUGAGGACGUGGAGCAGGUGAAGACAGAGAGAGGGAGAGAGAAAGAGAGAGAGAGAGAAUGAUAGAAACAGAAGCAGUCCCACAAAGCGCUGAGGAAGCGUGGUGAAGUCAACCAGCCGGCUAUUUUACACCGUGACAAAGCUGCUAAAAUCAAACCAUAGCAAAUCUUUUUACUCUGUGUUGCAAAGUUAAACAGGUGAGUUAAUGUUUUGCUUCCUGAGACCUACGUGAGUGUGUUUACAGCAAUUGUUCAAACAGAGAAGUCUGACCUUUUGAGCUGACAAGCAAAUUAUGAUUUGAGAGAUUCUAGAUGCAGCGAAUACAAUGAAGGAGUUCAAAAAUACAGUACUUGUUCUCUUGAUUCGAGCUCGUUAUUUCUGCUUGUGCGCUCUUGGACUGGAGGAGGAAGGUCAGGGAAGACUUUUCUUGAAAAACCUAUUGUACUUGCAAAGCUAUAAUCUUACAUAGAAUACAUAGGAGAGCAGCUAAAAUAGCCUGAUAGUGCUGAAGAAAAAGACUUGCUGUAGGCUACAGGAGUCCAUUUAAUGGUGUAUAGUUGGCUACAGACAGGAACAUUUUAACACUGGGCUUGCAAGAAAUGCAUGCUUUUAGAACAGCAUUCUUGUUAACCAGUCAUCACUGUGUGUUCCCACUUCUGAACCAAACGAAAAUUCCCUUGAG
This is a long non-coding RNA of Ictalurus punctatus (channel catfish), 1510 nucleotides long. The record is from Ensembl. NCBI's taxonomy places the organism in Eukaryota, Metazoa, Chordata, Actinopteri, Siluriformes, Ictaluridae.